Molecule: ribosomal RNA, 253 nt
Filed under: uncultured bacterium
Lineage: Bacteria
Description: partial 16S ribosomal RNA
Rfam family: Bacterial small subunit ribosomal RNA
Source: RNAcentral
UACGUAGGGUGCAAGCGUUGUCCGGAAUUAUUGGGCGUAAAGAGCUCGUAGGCGGUUUGUCGCGUCUGCUGUGAAAACUCGGGGCUUAACCCCGGGCCGGCAGUGGGUACGGGCAGACUAGAGUGCGGUAGGGGAGACUGGAAUUCCUGGUGUAGCGGUGAAAUGCGCAGAUAUCAGGAGGAACACCGGUGGCGAAGGCGGGUCUCUGGGCCGUAACUGACGCUGAGGAGCGAAAGCGUGGGGAGCGAACAGG